CAGCUCUUCCUGGAGUCAGUGAUUCCAAGGUCAGGUGGUGCUUGUGGGUUUCCAGCCUGCCCCAGUUUUUCCUUGCCACCUGCCUGCCUAUGGACUGAAAACUUCAGCUCAUGCUCCUGAGGUCCAGCCUCUUGUGUUCUCCCUUCCCGGCUGCCUGUCCUGUGAGCCUCAGGUUUCUUAGCCAGUGCCCAUACAGUAAUUCACUAUCCUGCGUCAAACGCCUGGAAGUGCUGGCAUGGAGUGAGGACAGGACAUCUGCUCCCUGGGGCUGGGCACAUGCCAUCAGACUGAAAGGAGGCCCACCGAGAAUGGUGUCAGAUUAUAGCCUGGAUGAUGCCUCUCCAGAUAAGGGACAGGAAGAUCUUUCUCUGGAGAAACUGAAACACCAACUGGGGAUCCCCAACAAAAAUAGGUCCAACUUCUCCAUUGUCCUUCCACCAGUCUACAGCUCUGCCUGCCCUGAGAACUUCCAAUCAGCAUUUGGGUGCUUCACCCUCCAAUAGAGAGAGACACACAAGGAUCGUCAGAAGGUAAGGAGUGCUAGAAGGAAAAGGCUAAAUCAAGAGGAAAUAGCAAAUAAGGGGGUACCUGACUAAGCGUCGACUCUUGAUUUCGGCUCAGGUCAUGGUGUCUGGGUUGUGGGAUUGAGCCCUGCUUCAGGCUCUGUGCUGAGUGUGGAUCCUGCUUGAGAUUCUCACUCUCUCCCUCUCUGCCCCUCUCCCCUUCCCCUGCUCACACUCUCUCUCAUCCUCUCUCUUUAAAAAAAAAGAAAGAACAAAUAAGUAGAAAAGGGGGUG
This 797-nucleotide long non-coding RNA is filed under the name Felis catus (domestic cat). RNAcentral describes it as "lncRNA (ENSFCAG00000041199.2)". Lineage: Eukaryota; Metazoa; Chordata; Mammalia; Carnivora; Felidae. The record is from RNAcentral.